Molecule: ribosomal RNA, 403 nt
Filed under: uncultured bacterium
Lineage: Bacteria
Description: partial 16S ribosomal RNA
Rfam family: Bacterial small subunit ribosomal RNA
Source: RNAcentral
GACGAACGCUGGCGGCGUGCCUAAUACAUGCAAGUCGAACGCAGUGGGGACGGGUGAGUAACACGUGGGUAACCUCCCAUCAGAGGGGAUAACACUUGGAAACAGGUGCUAAACCGCUACUGAUGGAUGGACCCGCGGUGCAUUAGCUGGUUGGUGAGGUAACGGCUCAACAAGGCCACGAUGCAUAGCCGCACUGGAGGGGUGAUCGGCCACACUGAGACUGAGACAAGGCCCGGACUCCUACGGGAGGCAGCGGUAGGGAAUCUGCGGCAAUGGACGAAAGUCUGACCGAGCAAUGGCGCGUGAGUGAAGAAGGUUUUCGGAUCGUGAAACUCUGUUGUUAGGGAAGCGGUAUCUAACCAGAAAGCCACGGCUAACUCCGGGCCAGCAGCCGCGGUAAUAC